GAUGAACGCUGGCGGUAUGCGUUACACAUGCAAGUCGUACGGAAGUUUUUAACUUAAGUGGCGGACGGGUGAGUAACACGUAAGAAUUUACCUUUAGGAAGGGGAUAACAACUGGAAACGGUUGCUAAAACCCUAUAUGCUUAUUAGUGAAAUGGGUAACCAGCCUAAAGAAAAGCUUGCGGCUGAUUAGCUUGUUGGUGGGGUAAAAGCCUACCAAGGCGACGAUCAGUAUCUGGUUUGAGAGGAUGAUCAGACACACUGGAACUGAGACACGGUCCAGACUCCUACGGGAGGCAGCAGUGGGGAAUUUUCCGCAAUGGGCGAAAGCCUGACGGAGCAAUACCGCGUGAGGGAAGACGGCCUAUGGGUUGUAAACCUCUUUUUUCAGGGAGGAAUCAAUGACGUGUACCUGAAGAAUAAGCAUCGGCUAACUCCGUGCCAGCAGCCGCGGUAAGACGGAGGAUGCGAGUGUUAUCCGGAAUCACUGGGCGUAAAGCGUCUGUAGGUGGUUUAAUAAGUCAACUGUUAAAUCUUGAGGCUCAACCUCAAAAUCGCAGUCGAAACUAUUAGACUAGAGUAUAGUAGGGGUAAAGGGAAUUUCCAGUGGAGCGGUGAAAUGCGUAGAGAUUGGAAAGAACACCAAUGGCGAAGGCACUUUACUGGGCUAUAACUGACACUCAGAAACGAAAGCUAGGGUAGCAAAUGGGAUUAGAUACCCCAGUAGUCCUAGCUGUAAACAAUGGAUACUAGAUGUUGAACAGAUCGACCUGCGCAGUAUUAAAGCUAACGCGUUAAGUAUC
Molecule: ribosomal RNA, 800 nt
Filed under: uncultured cyanobacterium
Lineage: Bacteria; Bacillati; Cyanobacteriota
Description: bacterial SSU rRNA
Rfam family: Bacterial small subunit ribosomal RNA
Source: RNAcentral